This 2648-nucleotide long non-coding RNA is filed under the name Gallus gallus (chicken). RNAcentral describes it as "lncRNA (ENSGALG00010002865.1)". Lineage: Eukaryota; Metazoa; Chordata; Aves; Galliformes; Phasianidae. The record is from RNAcentral.
GUUACGCAUUUUAAUGAGUUUGUAAUAAGCAAAGUACUACGGAAGAAGUAAUUUGCAUUUCACAGCACUAUUUAGAUAGAAUACUUUGUUAACACUCACUACAUUGAAGCAGGAAAAUUAGCCCAACUUCACAAGGAUUUAGAGUCUGAACACGUGCAGGCCAUUGUGCAGAAGAUGAUAUGCUUUUAAAGCUGGAAGAAAAGUUACUUGGUAAUACCCACAGUGAGAGAGAACAGAGGAAUACAACACCUGCACCUUAUUCACCUAGAGAAUAAGGCAGCAACAACCACUACUGGAUUUGUGCUGCGUGUCAGCAUUUCAGUGUCUCAGUUUGCACCUUGCGGUGGUGAUGCACACCAAUGUUUAGUUUGAAGGAAGCAUCCCUCCCUCCAUCCCUCCCUGCAGGCAUUCAAGCCUCCUUGGGCAACCUGUUCAGUGCGUCACCACCCUCCGCGUGAAAAGCUUCCUCCUAAUAUCUAACCGAAAACCUCCCCUGUCUCAGUUUCAAACCAUUCCCCCUUGUCCUAUCACUGUCCACCCUCAUAAACAGCUGUUCCCCCUCCUGCUUAUACACUCCCUUCAAAUACUGGAAGGCCACAGUGAGGUCUCCCUGGAGCCUUCUCUUCUCCAAGCUGAACAAUCCCAGUUCCCUCAACCUUUCCUCAUAGGAGAGGUGCUCCAGCCCUCUGAGCAUCUUUGUGGCCCUCUUCUGAACCCAUUCCAAGAGCUCCACGUCUUUCUUGUGCUGAUAAUUCUUCUGCUGAUUUCAGUCUGUCAGGUUGAAGCCCUGCAGUGCUGUCUGAGUGCUGGGCUGCCAUGCAGCCUGAUGCUCCCACUGCAGUGAUGGGGCAGGAGAGUUUGUGAUCCGCUCUGAUCAGCAUUUCCCAUUUUUAUGCAUUAAAUAUAUCACACCAUUGUGUUUUGUGCUGCUUCACAGUGCCAGGUGAACACUACAGGCGUCAGCUGCCACCUCCAGACUUCCAGAGAGCCCUAUGAGAGUGUGGAACCACAGCAAAGGUAGGAGAUAAAUCUCCCACCUUAAAAUACAGAAGAUAGCAAAGCGUAUUUUCAGUGUUAUUUCUCAGUAAACUGCAGGAAUGGGUCACUGCAGGCAGCGAGGACCCCCACAUGCUGCUAAUACAGUUUAUUUAUCCCUCAAAUUCUUGCUUAAUACUCCAGGAUUCACAGCGUUGUGAUGGCCAGCUUCAGUUCUGUGUUGGUGCACUGCAACUGGGCAGACGGGGUUGUUUUGGAGAACGCAUCUUAAUUCAGGUCUAAAUUUCUCCAGUACAGAAAAUAGAAGCAAUAAGUAAUAAAUAGGCUCUUAAAUCUCUCUUCUACAAUCUUCUUCAAUAAAAGGUCAGCUAAACAUUUUGUGCCUUAUAGAAAUGGAGCAUCUGAUUGUAAAGCAAAUUCAACCAGCAAAGCAGAGCUGUUGCUUGUAGUGCAACAGAGAUAAACAGAAGGCAGAUAAAAUUCCACCCCAAACAAAGCACACACGUAAAAACCCACUCAGAUCUAUAAUUCAGUGGGUUCAAAACAUAUCCAGGCAGGUCUAUGAGGUGCUGACACCUGGGACCAGUGAUUUUACCUUGAAGGAAAUGAAGGCCUGCAUCAUUCUUUAUCUCACUCCCUGCUUUAUUUGCUGCUUUUAUUCAGCUGAAGUUCUUUUUUCUGCAGUGUCCCUCCUCCCAUCACAAGACCAGGAGUGCUUCUUCCACACUGGUUUGUCCCAAUGCCCCUUUGAACGCUGGGCUGCCACUGUGUGCCAGACAGCCAUUCAUACACACAAGCACUCAGAAAUACUCACAAAGUUCUUCUCUUCUCCUUCCUGUGCAUCACCUGCAGCUCAGUGUGUGAGCUGAGUUCUCAGCUGGGAUACACAUGUGGAAAUCACUGCCUUAUAUUCAUUAUUUGCAUCCCUCUCUAGGACAAGCACACAUAAUUGAAGAAGAUAACUCCAACUUACUCUCCCUAUGAGCAUAUUGCCAUGCCAAUAUGUCUUGAUUAGGUUGAUUUCCUCCUAAAAAGAAAGCAUUUUUGUAUUGUGGUGCCUAAGAAGAUUUCCAGCAGAGCCUGCUGCUUGAGCUCUGCUAGCGAUACUUACAUUCAGUAUUCUCAUUGCUCUUGUUUAUCUUUUUAUUAUGCUCACAUUCUCAUCCUUCAUCCCACCCGUCUCCAUCAGCGGGCCGUAACACUUUCACACCAGCAAGCAGGCCUGAAGGCAAAUAUUGUCCAAAUAUUGUCUGUCACUGCCACGUUUUGUUUUAAUUCCUGAGACCAGGAGAUCCGGCCGUGCUGCUGCACACCCAACAGCCACACAGUUUCUGGGUUCUCAGCCUGGGCCAUCCCUGUGUGCCCCACUGCCACGUUUCCCAGGAGCUGGCAGCCACCGUGCAGGUGACCUCCUGCCCCAUAGCCCAGAGCUGGGGGACUGCAGCUCAGCACAAAGGCAGCUCCAUACAGAAGGGCUGUAGCUCCAGCCGGUGUCCUCUCACAUCCCUGACACUUCCCACUCGAGUAUUUAACCCCCAGUGCUGGAGGAGGUGACAGUACUUUUUUAUGGCUUUGAGGGGGUGACCUUUUCUAUCAUCGUACUUUACUCACUUUCCCCUUCUGCAUGAAAAAAAAAAAAAAAAAAAAAAAAA